This 1335-nucleotide ribosomal RNA is filed under the name uncultured bacterium. Its description in RNAcentral is "bacterial SSU rRNA". It matches the Rfam family "Bacterial small subunit ribosomal RNA", at positions 28 to 1387 of the family's 1533-position model. The record is from RNAcentral.
GAUGAACGCUGGCGGCGCGCCUAACACAUGCAAGUCGAACGGCACCCCUCUCCGGAGGGAAGCGAGUGGCGAACGGCUGAGUAACACGUGGAGAACCUGCCCCCUCCCCCGGGAUAGCCGCCCGAAAGGACGGGUAAUACCGGAUACCCCGGGGUGCCGCAUGGCACCCCGGCUAAAGCCCCGACGGGAGGGGAUGGCUCCGCGGCCCAUCAGGUAGACGGCGGGGUGACGGCCCACCGUGCCGACAACGGGUAGCCGGGUUGAGAGACCGACCGGCCAGAUUGGGACUGAGACACGGCCCAGACUCCUACGGGAGGCAGCAGUGGGGAAUCUUGCGCAAUGGGGGGAACCCUGACGCAGCGACGCCGCGUGCGGGACGGAGGCCUUCGGGUCGUAAAACCGCUUUUCAGCAGGGAAGAGUCAAGACUGUACCUGCAGAAGAAGCCCCGGCUAACUACGUGCCAGCAGCCGCGGUAAUACGUAGGGGGCGAGCGUUAUCCGGAUUCAUUGGGCGUAAAGCGCGCGUAGGCGGCCCGGCAGGCCGGGGGUCGAAGCGGGGGGCUCAACCCCCCGAAGCCCCCGGAACCUCCGCGGCUUGGGUCCGGUAGGGGAGGGUGGAACACCCGGUGUAGCGGUGGAAUGCGCAGAUAUCGGGUGGAACACCGGUGGCGAAGGCGGCCCUCUGGGCCGAGACCGACGCUGAGGCGCGAAAGCUGGGGGAGCGAACAAGAUUAGAUACCCUGGUAGUCCCAGCCGUAAACGAUGGACGCUAGGUGUGGGGGGACGAUCCCCCCGUGCCGCAGCCAACGCAUUAAGCGUCCCGCCUGGGGAGUACGGCCGCAAGGCUAAAACUCAAAGGAAUUGACGGGGGCCCGCACAAGCAGCGGAGCAUGUGGCUUAAUUUGAAGCAACGCGAAGAACCUUACCAGGGCUUGACAUAUGGGUGAAGCGGGGGAGACCCCGUGGCCGAGAGGAGCCCAUACAGGUGGUGCAUGGCUGUCGUCAGCUCGUGUCGUGAGAUGUUGGGUUAAGUCCCGCAACGAGCGCAACCCCCGCCGCGUGUUGCCAUCGGGUGAUGCCGGGAACCCACGCGGGACCGCCGCCGUCAAGGCGGAGGAGGGCGGGGAGGACGUCAAGUCAUCAUGCCCCUUAUGCCCUGGGCUGCACACGUGCUACAAUGGCCGGUACAGAGGGAUGCCACCCCGCGAGGGGGAGCGGAUCCCGGAAAGCCGGCCCCAGUUCGGAUUGGGGGGUGCAACCCGCCCCCACGAAGUCGGAGUUGCUAGUAAUCGCGGAUCAGCAUGCCGCGGUGAAAAAAAUCCCGGGCCGUGCACA